CACAGCUUUAUAUGUAAAAUAGUUAAUAAGUUGCUGCAAAACAAGAAAAGUCAGAGACAUAAACAUUUUGACUCCUCUCAGAAACAAUCAUUCUCACCGUUUUGACAUCUCCAAAGGUAUCAUCGUAGUUCCCAGCAACGUCCUCGUUCACAAUCAAGAGCUUCCUUUUGCUCCUCCGAUUCGCUAUCCUCGGUACACGCUUCGAAGAAAGCCUGAAAACAAUGCCCGAGCCAGCAAAGGAGCUCCCCAGCUCCAGCUUUCUUGCACUGCCAAGGAUCUUCUUCUUGCUCCUCGUGUGAGCAUCCUUACAUAAACAUGAAUCCAUCACCGAUGAGCCAACAACAAACAGGGCACCCACCAUUACUCCAAACAAAAAAAGAUCAAAACUUUGACUGGGGAAAGCGAACUCCAAGAAAUCAAGAACACAGUAGGUGGAUCUAUGGUGAGAAUCAGACCAAGAACAAAACAGAGAAACAGAACAAAACAGAGAGAGAGAACACGAGUUGGGUGUGUAAGAUGGAAAAUGGCCGUUGAAUACUAGCCAGUCAAAAUCAGGGACAAGUGCUUUAGAUAUUUUAUUAUAUUUUUUUAAAAUUCUUAAACGCAACAAAGCAAAGGCAAAGUAGAAAACCACCGGGUGGGCUUUCGGGUUCACAUGGACACGUUUGUACUUAUUGUCUUCUUGUAACUUUGCGUAAAUGAGGAACAACACUAAAGUAAUGGACAACCUAUAUAGCACAUGGCCAUCUCAGAGGAAGAGAGUCGCAAUAGCCACGAGUUCGAGCUCAAUCUACACGUGAAUGGUCUCGAACUAAAAACGUGUUUUUAGUAUUAUAGUAUGUGAAUGUGUCAAAAAGACAAGUUUUUCGAUCGGAUCUAUGUGUAAUGAUUCUACUUGAAAUGACCUAUGUUGUUAGAAUGCACCAUCCACUGAGUUAUGACAUACAUGAUACAACUAAUAGUAGUAGGGAACUUGAACGGCCAGAGUCUUAUUUUGGUGGUGAUGAACGAACUCGGGAAACAUUUAGUCAUGUUGUCUAGAUACAGACCUUUUUUUUCGUGGAAACGAGUUUUAACAUUUGACAUUUCGUGGGAACGUAUUUGUACAAAGUUGACUGACUAACACUCGACUCCACCGUUAUGUGGUGUUGAGUGAUUGUUGAGAGUAAUCACUCGGUGAUUAGCAUCACAGCUUCAUUCAUCAUUCCUGGAAGCUGCCCUUUUCAAAAAGAAAACAAAAAGUUCUGUUAGUGCAGGUGCCUCAUCUAUUUCCUACAACCCAGCCUGGAUCACUUGCGAGUUGGCUGGUUUUAAAAGGAGCUAAGGCAAUAAACACUCGGAGAAACCAAACCAAAAGCCAUAACAUUUGAUCGAGGCUUGUGAAUAGCAUUCAAACAAACAGCAUUUCAGGUUUAUCAGCUACCUAUUAAGCUACCAAUACGAGCUAAAAGAUCAAAAAACGAACCCACUACUUUCAGUUUCAACAGAAUGUAGCACAUGUACAAUCCGAAAAACAGCAAUGAGAAAAAGUAUAAACUGCUGAUGUAUCUUCUCUCAUUAUCUCAAAAGAGAUGAUCUUUUAGCACCCUUUUCCAAGCUUUUUGCUUUUACCCUUUGUGGUUGGUUUGCUAUAAACUUUAAAGGAAAGCCUACAAUUACAUGAUGGUCAUUUACAAUCCCAAGCACCUAAACAGGUUCAAGUUUAAGAUCCACUAAAAGUUUGAACCCAGAAUCUAAUCCAUAUCAUUCUCAAAUACAUCCUCUAGAACCCUAAACAAAACCCGUAAGCUGCUGCCAUCUACACAUCAUGGCGUCAAUUGAUUCGUUAUUACCAAAAAGUUCAAAUUAGAUUACCCAUCAAAACUCAAUAAAGUUGCCAACUUUGAGAUCAAUUUCAAAAACCCAGAAACGCAGCAUCCUAAAGAAAUCAUCUUUACCUGGAGAAAACUCUUCCAAGAACAUCCAGAGACGCCGCACGAAUGCACAGUCUUGAACUGGUCAAUACCAAGCUUCUUGUUGAUAAACCCAACCUUGAAGUAGAUCGAAUCCGUGGGAGGCAGAUCGACCUUGAUCUCAUCCACAUCCAACCAGAUAAAGAGCCGCUUCACCUGAAUGCCCUCGAGCUCGGUGAUGGACCCGUAGCUGAUCCGUCCGGACACGGUCUUCUCGUAGCGAACGCGGUAGUCGAAUUCGAUUUCGCAGGACCUGGCUAAGCAGACGACGAACCGGCCGUCGUCGGAGAGGGUGAAGUUGGUGACGGAGUCGGGCAAGAGGCCGCUCGGGAGGCCGUAUUUGGGGAGGAGGUCGUAGACGGUGGAGAGAGAGAGGGAGAGGGUCGUUGUGGUGAGAGAGAAGAGGAAGAGGGUUGAGAAAGAGAAGCGGUGGAGGGCCAUGCUUUGUUGGAGGAUUAGAGAAGAAGAAGGAGAGAGACUUCUGGAGAUUUUGAUGGGUUCUUCUCCCUUUUGUCACGCAAAUCCAACAAAAUUCAACUCAAAUCAAGUUUUUAAUGUUUUCAAACAUUUAAAAGUAUAUUAAAUUUAACCAUAAAUAUAUUUUUAUCACUAAUGUUCAAUAAAAUCAAAUUAAUAAUAUUAAAUAAAUUCAAUAUUUUAUAAGAGAAAAAGACCAAAAUAGCACUAAAUCAAGUUUUUGUUCCCAAACUAGCACUCAAGGUCAAAAGUCACAAAAAUAGCACUCAAGGGGUGGGGUUUAGGGUUUAGAAUUUAGGGUUUAGGGUUUAGAGUUUAAGUUUUAGGGUUUAGAGUUGAGAAGUGAGGUUUUGGGGAUAAGAUUUCAAAUUUUGAAAAAUAAAAAAAUUUAAAUUUUUCAAAAGAUAAAAUGCUAUUUUGGUCAUUUUAGUUUGUCUCCAUGAGGCGUUCACGCAUCAACGCCAAGUUCUCAUCGGAUAUAUCUUGGUAUAUCUUCCCAUGGUCGCAUUUCUACAAGCAACAACAAACUAUACAAGAUUAGUUUUGAGUCUUUUCUGGUUCACAUGGCAAAACCGGAGAGGCGGGAGAUUGUACCUUGAUCCACUUGCCAUACAAGUGGAGCCGCGUGAUCAUCACUCUUUCCGCAAGCUCCUGAUUUUCCUACAAGUAAGUUAAAAGACAAAGCUCUCAGAUGAGACAACAAAAGUACUCUUCUGUCUUGCCAUGUUGAUAUAUUUUCUAUACCAAGCUCUAAACAAGGCUGAAUCAAACAUAGUAUAGCACAACACAGAGUGUGGUUUUAUGAUAAGAACAAAACCUAUGAACUUGCUUAUUCUUAUUCCAAUUCCAUAAAGUGAGAAGAACUGUCAACACAAAGGCUGAUCCAAACCCUUUUAGUAAAAUAAUUUGCUGAGGUAAGUCUUGUAUAUAUAUACUAGAGUCCUCACUAACUGCUCUAUAACCACCCCACCAGAGCUACAAUCAGCUACAAACAGUCCUACGCUAGAUAUAGUAGAGACCUGCUGCUUAACUUAUUCAACUAGGCUUUAUAGGAUUACCUUGCCGAGUUUGCGGAGGAAACGUUUACCAUCGGUUGGUCUGUUUGAUACGACGUAACUGUUGUAAAACAAAAGCAUACACAUAAAGAUCAGAUGCCAAAAAAAUGAUCACCUAAGUGUUUUUGUUGAUGCAAUUCAUCCUUAUAAAGAACUUGGAGAGCAAUAAGAAACAACUCACUUAUAGAACCAAGUGUACCGGGGAGGAUUCAUUUCGUAGAGCUGAUGAAGAACCGUCCUCACAGCUUUAUAUGUAAAAUAGUUAAUAAGUUGCUGCAAAACAAGAAAAGUCAGAGACAUAAACAUUUUGACUCCUCUCAGAAACAAUCAUUCUCACCGUUUUGACAUCUCCAAAGGUAUCAUCGUAGUUCCCAGCAACGUCCUCGUUCACAAUCAAGAGCUUCCUUUUGCUCCUCCGAUUCGCUAUCCUCGGUACACGCUUCGAAGAAAGCCUGAAAACAAUGCCCGAGCCAGCAAAG
RNAcentral lists this long non-coding RNA (3963 nucleotides) under Brassica napus (rape). RNAcentral describes it as "long non-coding RNA (BNAP_LNC010650)". Lineage: Eukaryota; Viridiplantae; Streptophyta; Magnoliopsida; Brassicales; Brassicaceae. The record is from RNAcentral.